This 465-nucleotide ribosomal RNA is filed under the name Vreelandella stevensii. Its description in RNAcentral is "partial 16S ribosomal RNA". It matches the Rfam family "Bacterial small subunit ribosomal RNA", at positions 338 to 795 of the family's 1533-position model. The record is from RNAcentral. Lineage: Bacteria; Pseudomonadati; Pseudomonadota; Gammaproteobacteria; Oceanospirillales; Halomonadaceae.
CCUACGGGAGGCAGCAGUGGGGAAUAUUGGACAAUGGGGGGAACCCUGAUCCAGCCAUGCCGCGUGUGUGAAGAAGGCCCUCGGGUUGUAAAGCACUUUCAGUGAGGAAGAACGCCUGGUGGUUAAUACCCAUCAGGAAAGACAUCACUCACAGAAGAAGCACCGGCUAACUCCGUGCCAGCAGCCGCGGUAAUACGGAGGGUGCGAGCGUUAAUCGGAAUUACUGGGCGUAAAGCGCGCGUAGGUGGCUUGAUAAGCCGGUUGUGAAAGCCCCGGGCUCAACCUGGGAACGGCAUCCGGAACUGUCAAGCUAGAGUGUAGGAGAGGAAGGUAGAAUUCCCGGUGUAGCGGUGAAAUGCGUAGAGAUCGGGAGGAAUACCAGUGGCGAAGGCGGCCUUCUGGACUGACACUGACACUGAGGUGCGAAAGCGUGGGUAGCAAACAGGAUUAGAUACCCUGGUAGUC